ACUACUAAUUUAGCAGGUUGUGGACCCCAAAGAAAAGGAAAUAGCAAUUGUCACGCAUAGUGGAUUCUUGUUCCAUGUGCAGUUGGCAAUGAUUGUCACCCUUUGAUUAAAAAAGAAAUUUCCAAGCAUUUUGCAAAUUGUGAGCUUCGCUCUAUGGUCAUUGUGGACAAAAGCAUGUCAGGAUUAGAUCCCCCGACAAUGAAUUAUCCAGGGAAAAUUCCUCCCGGGCCCGAUGCCCCUAGCGAUGUUGUGGAUGAGAAGAACUGAAGAAAGACAUCCCCAAUUCCUGAUUUGCAGGGAUAAAGAACUUCCAAUUCAUUAGCUUUAGAGGUAUUGCUAUAUUGAACUGAAUGACCCCAACAUGACAAUGGAACAACAUUCCUAAAACACUUGCUCAUAGAACUUGAUAUAACGUAUGUCAUUCUGGAUUUAAAAAAUUCAACAAGUUUGAUAAAAAUAAAAAAUAUUUUUUU
Camellia sinensis is the source of this 473-nucleotide non-coding RNA. Lineage: Eukaryota; Viridiplantae; Streptophyta; Magnoliopsida; Ericales; Theaceae. The record is from RefSeq and is a predicted model, not a curated record.